This 253-nucleotide ribosomal RNA is filed under the name uncultured bacterium. Its description in RNAcentral is "partial 16S ribosomal RNA". It matches the Rfam family "Bacterial small subunit ribosomal RNA", at positions 524 to 776 of the family's 1533-position model. The record is from RNAcentral.
UACGUAGGCAGCGAGCGUUGUUCGGAGUUACUGGGCGUAAAGAGUGCGUAGGCGGCUUUCUAAGUUUGGUGUGAAAUCUCCCGGCUUAACUGGGAGGGUGCGCCGAAGACUGGAAGGCUUGAGUAUGGGAGAGGUAAGCGGAAUUCCUGGUGUAGCGGUGAAAUGCGUAGAUAUCUGGAGGAAUACCGGUGGCGAAGGCGGCAUCCUGGACCGGCAUUGACGCUGAGGAGCGAAAGCCAGGGGAGCAAACGGG